Molecule: ribosomal RNA, 393 nt
Filed under: uncultured bacterium
Lineage: Bacteria
Description: partial 16S ribosomal RNA
Rfam family: Bacterial small subunit ribosomal RNA
Source: RNAcentral
AUACGGAGGAUGCGAGCGUUAUCCGGAUUUAUUGGGUUUAAAGGGUGCGCAGGCGGGCGAUUAGGUCAGCGGUGAAAGGCUCGGGCUCAACCGGAGCAGUGCCGUUGAUACUGGUUGUCUUGAAUGCGGUCAAGGCCGGCGGAAUGUGGCGUGUAGCGGUGAAAUGCAUAGAUAUGCCACAGAACACCGAUAGCGAAGGCAGCGGGCCGGGCCUGCAUUGACGCUGAGGCACGAAAGCGUGGGGAUCGAACAGGAUUAGAUACCCUGGUAGUCCACGCUGUAAACGAUGGACACUCGUUGCCGGCGACAGACAGUCGGCGGCCAAGCGAAAGUGAUAAGUGUCCCACCUGGGGAGUACGGUCGCAAGGCUGAAACUCAAAUGAAUUGACGGGG